UCCUACGGGUGGCAGCAGUGGGGAAUUUUGGACAAUGGGGGCAACCCUGAUCCAGCCAUGCCGCGUGCGGGAAGAAGGCCUUCGGGUUGUAAACCGCUUUUAGCCGGGAAGAAAAGGCGCCACCUAAUACGGGGCGUUCUUGACGGUACCGGCGGAAUAAGCACCGGCUAACUACGUGCCAGCAGCCGCGGUAAUACGUAGGGUGCGAGCGUUAAUCGGAAUUACUGGGCGUAAAGCGUGCGCAGGCGGUUCGUUAAGUCAGAUGUGAAAGCCCCGGGCUCAACCUGGGAACUGCAUUUGAAACUGGCGGGCUUGAGUAUGGCAGAGGGGGGUGGAAUUCCGCGUGUAGCAGUGAAAUGCGUAGAGAUGCGGAGGAACACCGAUGGCGAAGGCAGCCCCCUGGGCCAAUACUGACGCUCAGGCACGAAAGCGUGGGGAGCAAACAGGAUUAGAUACCCUGGUAGUCC
RNAcentral lists this ribosomal RNA (467 nucleotides) under uncultured bacterium. RNAcentral's name for it is "bacterial SSU rRNA". It matches the Rfam family "Bacterial small subunit ribosomal RNA", at positions 337 to 796 of the family's 1533-position model. The record is from RNAcentral.